CUGCCACCACUGUGGUCCUUGGGGCUUGGGAUUGGCCCAGCUCAGCCCACCGUGUGGUUUCUCCUGGUGAUUCUACCUCGGGUCUCUUCAGAGACAAACCCCGACGAACUGACAAGCCAGCGUCCACUGCAGCAUCACCUCUAACCCGUACUGCAGUGCUUCCUGAUAGGAUUUCUUGCAGUGGAGAUUGCUUCUAGCGUCCCUUAUGCCCACGAGUUGUAGCUGGCAGAAAGUGACGGCUCUGUUUCCAGCCUGGCCACGAACCUCGGUGUAUGCUCCUCUCUCCUGUUCUGCAGGCCGGAUGCUGAUGCCAAGGGGAGCUUGGAAACCAGCAUGAAGAUGGCAGGACCCUUGCCACUCCCACCAACAUGGGUCCCUGACGGACCCCACCCAGAACCAUCCCCAGCAGACUCCUGUAAGGGAAAAAAUCAACUUUGGAGCAUUGAUGCGGCUUCCUGCAGAUGCACCUUGGGGUGCAGGCCUCAGCAUCUACUGGAUCGUAAUCAAAAGGUCUCAUCCAGAGUCUACUCCUCCCAAAUUUACCGUGGUGGAUGGCUUAUGCGCACCCUAAGGGUCAUUAAAAACAACCCGAA
Molecule: long non-coding RNA, 593 nt
Filed under: Chinchilla lanigera (long-tailed chinchilla)
Lineage: Eukaryota; Metazoa; Chordata; Mammalia; Rodentia; Chinchillidae
Description: lncRNA (ENSCLAG00000024983.1)
Source: RNAcentral